RNAcentral lists this transfer RNA (65 nucleotides) under Boreus elegans. Its description in RNAcentral is "tRNA-Gly". Lineage: Eukaryota; Metazoa; Arthropoda; Insecta; Mecoptera; Boreidae. The record is from RNAcentral.
AUUUAUAUAGUAUAAUUGUAUAUAUGACUUCCAAUCAUAAGGACUAAUUUUAUUUAGUAUAAAUA